GCCUGGCCCUAAAUCUUGAUGCUUACACCUACUAAAGCAUCCGCCCGAGAACUACGAGCACUAACGCUUAAAACUCUAAGGACUUGGCGGUGUCCCAAACCCACCUAGAGGAGCCUGUUCUGUAAUCGAUGAUCCACGAUAUACCUGACCAUUCCUUGCCAGAACAGCCUACAUACCGCCCGUUACCGUUAACCUACCCUGAAAGCCCAACAGUGAGCGCAAUAGCCCCACCACGCUAAUACGACAGGUCAAGGUAUAGCCUAUGGAAUGGAAGCAAUGGGCUACAUUUUCUAAGUUAGAACAUAACGGCAAAGGGGUAUGAAAUAACCCCUAGAAGGCGGAUUUAGCAGUAAAGUGGGACAAUCGAGCCCUCUUUAAGCCGGCCCUGGGACACGU
This 396-nucleotide ribosomal RNA is filed under the name Chloris sinica (oriental greenfinch). RNAcentral describes it as "partial 12S ribosomal RNA". It matches the Rfam family "Bacterial small subunit ribosomal RNA", at positions 794 to 1384 of the family's 1533-position model. The record is from RNAcentral. Lineage: Eukaryota; Metazoa; Chordata; Aves; Passeriformes; Fringillidae.